CUCCUCCCGAUUCUUUACCCCUCAGAUCUAAGUAUUGGUCUGAGUGGCUGAAAAAGGAGGAAUAGUAAAACUGAAGUGAACUUGGUCCGGUGACAUACAAGUUCAUUUCAGACAGAC
RNAcentral lists this small nucleolar RNA (117 nucleotides) under Echinops telfairi (small Madagascar hedgehog). RNAcentral's name for it is "Small nucleolar RNA SNORA61 (ENSETEG00000024328.1)". Lineage: Eukaryota; Metazoa; Chordata; Mammalia; Afrosoricida; Tenrecidae. The record is from RNAcentral.